RNAcentral lists this transfer RNA (73 nucleotides) under Erinaceus europaeus (western European hedgehog). It matches the Rfam family "tRNA". From Rfam's summary of the family: Transfer RNA (tRNA) molecules are approximately 80 nucleotides in length. Their secondary structure includes four short double-helical elements and three loops (D, anti-codon, and T loops). Lineage: Eukaryota; Metazoa; Chordata; Mammalia; Eulipotyphla; Erinaceidae. The record is from Rfam by way of RNAcentral.
ACUGGGCUAGCUCAGUGGGUAGAGCAUGAGACUCUUAAUCUCACAGUCGUGGGUUCAUGCCCCACGUUGGGCG